RNAcentral lists this ribosomal RNA (253 nucleotides) under uncultured bacterium. RNAcentral describes it as "partial 16S ribosomal RNA". It matches the Rfam family "Bacterial small subunit ribosomal RNA", at positions 524 to 776 of the family's 1533-position model. The record is from RNAcentral.
UACGGAGGAUCCAAGCGUUAUCCGGAUUCAUUGGGUUUAAAGGGUGCGUAGGCGGAAUGGUAAGUCAGUGGUGAAAGCCUACGGCUUAACUGUAGAAUUGCCAUUGAUACUGCCAAUCUUGAGUACAUUUGAAGUGGGCGGAAUGUGUCAUGUAGCGGUGAAAUGCUUAGAUAUGACACAGAACACCGAUUGCGAAGGCAGCUCACUAAACUGUAACUGACGCUGAGGCACGAAAGCGUGGGGAUCAAACAGG